AUUGAACGCUGGCGGCAGGCUUAACACAUGCAAGUCGAACGAGAGGCGGACGGGUGAGUAAUGCUUGGGAAUCUGGCCUAUGGAGGGGGAUAACGACGGGAAACUGUCGCUAAUACCGCGUAACAUAGGAUGAGCCCAAGUGGGAUUAGGUAGUUGGUGGGGUAAUGGCCUACCAAGCUGACGAUCUCUUGCUGGUCUGAGAGGAUGACCAGCAACACCGGGACUGAGGUACGGCCUGAACUCCUACGGGAGGCAGCAGAGGUGAAUAUUGCGCAAUGGGGGCAACCCUGACGCACCCAUGCAGCGUGAAAGAAGAAGGCCUUCGGGUUGUAAAGUUCGUUCGUUAUUAAGGCGUUAAAUACAGAAGAAGCACCGGCUAACUCCGUGCCAGCAGCCGCGGUAAUUC
This 406-nucleotide ribosomal RNA is filed under the name uncultured bacterium. RNAcentral's name for it is "partial 16S ribosomal RNA". It matches the Rfam family "Bacterial small subunit ribosomal RNA", at positions 30 to 526 of the family's 1533-position model. The record is from RNAcentral.